UACGAAGGGUGCAAGCGUUACUCGGAAUUACUGGGCGUAAAGCGUGCGUAGGUGGUUUGUUAAGUCUGUUGUGAAAGCCCCCGGCUCAACUGGGGAGGGUCACUCGAUACUGAUCGACUUGAAGGCAGGAGAGGGAAGCGGAAUUCCCGGUGUAGUGGUGAAAUGCGUAGAUAUCGGGAGGAACACCAGUGGCGAAGGCGGCUUCCUGGCCUGUUCUUGACGCUGAGGCGCGAAAGCUAGGGGAGCAAACGGG
RNAcentral lists this ribosomal RNA (253 nucleotides) under uncultured bacterium. RNAcentral describes it as "partial 16S ribosomal RNA". It matches the Rfam family "Bacterial small subunit ribosomal RNA", at positions 524 to 776 of the family's 1533-position model. The record is from RNAcentral.